AUAUGCUCGUCUAAAAGAUUAAGCCAUGCAUGUCUUAGUAUAAGCAUUUUUAUACAGCGAAACUGCGGAUGGCUCAUUAUAUCAGUAAUAAUCUACUCGAUGAACAAAACUCGACUUGGAUAACUGUAGGAAUUCUAGAGCUAAUACAUGCAAAGAAUCUGGACUUGGGGAAACUCAGGGAAAGAUGCCUUUACUUGAUUCUUGAAACCAGCACCGGGCGUUAAAAACCCGGUAAAAAUCCUUUUCGAUGAUUCAGAGUAAAUUUAGCAGACCGGAGAUUUAAAUUUUCGGCGAUUUGAAAGAGAUUCUGCCCUAUCAACUUUCAACCGUAGUCUAGUGGACUACGGUGGUGGUAACGGGUACGGGGAAUUAGGGUUCGAUUCCGGAGAGGGAGCCUGAGAAACGGCUCCCACUUCCAAGGAAGGCAGCAGGCGCGUAAAUUAUCCAAUCCUAAUACGGGGAGAUAGUGACAAGAAAUACCGAUGUAGUGGCAUCAAAGCUACUACUAUUGGAAUGAGAACAGCGUAAAUUCCUUAUCGAGGAACUAUUGGAGGGCAAGUCUGGUGCCAGCAGCCGCGGUAAUUCCAGCUCCAAGAGUGUAUAUUAGAGUUGUUGCGGUUAAAAAGCUCGUAGUUGGAUUUUAAAUUUUAUGGAUUCUUUAAUCUCCUUUUGGAUUUUUAAAAAUUCAUUUGGGGGUUUUGAUUCGUAAUUUUUUAUUUCUAUAGGGAUUUUUCUUUGGAUUUCGACGUAAAAAAUUGGGGUUCUUUGAAUAUUAAGUUUUUAUAGAUUGUUUACUUUGAAAAAAUUAGAGUGUUUAAAGCAGGCAUAUUUGUCAUUUUUAUAAUGAAUAUUACAGCAUGGGAUAAUAAAAUAAGACAUUGGCCUUAUUUUGUUGGUUUUGAGGGUUUAAUGUAAUGAUAAAAAGGGAUAGUUGGGGCAACUUGUAUUUGGUCGCUAGGGGUGAAAUCCUAUGAUUGACCAAAGACAAACAAAUGCGAAAGCACUUUGCAAGGAUGUUUUCAUUAAUCAAGAACGAAAGUUGGGGGAUCGAAGAUGAUCAGAUACCGUCGUAGUCUCAACCAUAAACUAUGUCGACUUAGGAUUAAAAAAUAUUACAUGGAUGAUUUUUUUAGCACUAGAAGAGAAAUCGAUAAGUAUUCAGACUCCGGGGGGAGUAUGGUCGCAAGAGUGAAACUUAAAGGAAUUGACGGAAGGGCACCACCAGGAGUGGAAUCUGCGGCU
This 1242-nucleotide ribosomal RNA is filed under the name uncultured soil eukaryote. Its description in RNAcentral is "partial small subunit ribosomal RNA". It matches the Rfam family "Eukaryotic small subunit ribosomal RNA", at positions 26 to 1190 of the family's 1831-position model. The record is from RNAcentral.